This 256-nucleotide ribosomal RNA is filed under the name uncultured fungus. RNAcentral's name for it is "partial small subunit ribosomal RNA". It matches the Rfam family "Eukaryotic small subunit ribosomal RNA", at positions 1313 to 1591 of the family's 1831-position model. Lineage: Eukaryota; Fungi. The record is from RNAcentral.
CUUGCUUAAUUGCGUUAACGAACGAAGACCUUAACCUGCUAAAUAGUUAUGCCAACAAAGUUGGUAGCCAACUUCUUAGAGGGACUAUCGGCAUCAAGCCGAUGGAAGUUUGAGGCAAUAACAGGUCUGUUAUGCCCUUAGAUGUCCUGGGCCGCACGCGCGCUACACUGAUGAAGUCAACGAGUUUAUAACCUUGGCCGGAAGGUCUGGGUAAUCUUUUGAAACUUCAUCGUGCUGGGGAUAGAGCAUUGCAAUG